GAUGAACGCUGGCGGCGUGCCUAAUACAUGCAAGUCGAGCGAACAGACGAGGAGCUUGCUCCUCUGACGUUAGCGGCGGACGGGUGAGUAACACGUGGAUAACCUACCUACAAGACUGGGAUAACUUCGGGAAACCGGAGCUAAUACCGGAUAAUAUAUUGAACCGCAUGGUUCAAUAGUGAAAGACGGUUUUGCUGUCACUUAUAGAUGGAUCCGCGCCGCAUUAGCUAGUUGGUAAGGUAACGGCUUACCAAGGCAACGAUGCGUAGCCGACCUGAGAGGGUGAUCGGCCACACUGGAACUGAGACACGGUCCAGACUCCUACGGGAGGCAGCAGUAGGGAAUCUUCCGCAAUGGGCGAAAGCCUGACGGAGCAACGCCGCGUGAGUGAUGAAGGUCUUCGGAUCGUAAAACUCUGUUAUUAGGGAAGAACAAAUGUGUAAGUAACUAUGCACGUCUUGACGGUACCUAAUCAGAAAGCCACGGCUAACUACG
This 495-nucleotide ribosomal RNA is filed under the name uncultured bacterium. RNAcentral describes it as "partial 16S ribosomal RNA". It matches the Rfam family "Bacterial small subunit ribosomal RNA", at positions 28 to 505 of the family's 1533-position model. The record is from RNAcentral.